UACGGAAGGGGCAAGCGUUGUUCGGAAUCAUUGGGCGUAAAGGGCGCGUAGGUGGUUCUGUAUGUCUACCGUGAAAGCAUACAGCUCAACUGUAUUUUGUCGGUAGAAACUGCAGGACUUGAGGCUGGGAGGGGCUGGUGGAAUUCCUGGUGUAGCGGUGAAAUGCGCAGAUAUCAGGAGGAACACCGGUGGCGAAGGCGGGUCUCUGGGCCGAUACUGACGCUGAGGAGCGAAAGCGUGGGGAGCGAACAGG
RNAcentral lists this ribosomal RNA (253 nucleotides) under uncultured bacterium. RNAcentral describes it as "partial 16S ribosomal RNA". It matches the Rfam family "Bacterial small subunit ribosomal RNA", at positions 524 to 776 of the family's 1533-position model. The record is from RNAcentral.